GACGACGCUGGCGGCGUGCCUAUACAUGCAAGUAGACGCUGAAGGAGAGCCUUGCUUCUCCGGAUGAGUUGCGAACGGGUGAGUAACGCGUAGGUAACCUGCCUGGUAGCGGGGGAUAACUAUUGGAAACGAUAGCUAAUACCGCAUAACAGUAGAUAUUGCAUGAUAUCUGCUUGAAAGGUGCAAAUGCAUCACUACCAGAUGGACCUGCGUUGUAUUAGCUAGUUGGUGGGGUAACGGCUCACCAAGGCGACGAUACAUAGCCGACCUGAGAGGGUGAUCGGCCACACUGGGACUGAGACACGGCCCAGACUCCUACGGGAGGCAGCAGUAGGGAAUCUUCGGCAAUGGACGGAAGUCUGACCGAGCAACGCCGCGUGAGUGAAGAAGGUUUUCGGAUCGUAAAGCUCUGUUGUAAGAGAAGAACGAGUGUGAGAGUGGAAAGUUCACACUGUGACGGUAUCUUACCAGAAAGG
Molecule: ribosomal RNA, 476 nt
Filed under: Streptococcus sp. oral taxon 431
Lineage: Bacteria; Bacillati; Bacillota; Bacilli; Lactobacillales; Streptococcaceae
Description: bacterial SSU rRNA
Rfam family: Bacterial small subunit ribosomal RNA
Source: RNAcentral